UGCAAGUCGAACGAAGUAGCAAUACUUAGUGGCAGACGGGUGAGUAACAUGUGGGUAUCUUCCCUUUGGCCUGGAAUAACACGAGGAAACUUGUGCUAAUACCUCAUAAGUCUUUACGGAGAAAGCUUUAUGCGCCAUUGGAUGAGCCUGCACUUGAUUAGUUUGUUGGUGGGGUAAUGGCCUACCAAGACUGUGAUCAAUAGCUGAUUUGAGAGGAUGAUCAGCCACAUUGGGACUGAGACACGGCCCAAACUCCUACGGGAGGCAGCAGUGGGGAAUCUUGCACAAUGGAGGAAACUCUGAUGCAGCGAUGCCGCGUGAGUGAAGAAGGCCUUUGGGUUGUAAAGCUCUUUCGUCGGGGAAGAAAAUGACUGUACCCGAAUAAGAAGGUCCGGCUAACUUCGUGCCAGCAGCCGCGGUAAUACGAAGGGACCUAGCGUAGUUCGGAAUUACUGGGCUUAAAGAGUUCGUAGGUGGUUGAAAAAGUUGGUGGUGAAAUCCCAGAGCUUAACUCUGGAACUGCCAUCAAAACUUUUCAGCUAGAGUAUGAUAGAGGAAAGCAGAAUUUCUAGUGUAGAGGUGAAAUUCGUAGAUAUUAGAAAGAAUACCAAUUGCGAAGGCAGCUUUCUGGAUCAUUACUGACACUGAGGAACGAAAGCAUGGGUAGCGAAGAGGAUU
This 678-nucleotide ribosomal RNA is filed under the name Acidimicrobiales bacterium. RNAcentral's name for it is "bacterial SSU rRNA". It matches the Rfam family "Bacterial small subunit ribosomal RNA", at positions 56 to 779 of the family's 1533-position model. Lineage: Bacteria; Bacillati; Actinomycetota; Acidimicrobiia; Acidimicrobiales. The record is from RNAcentral.